RNAcentral lists this ribosomal RNA (500 nucleotides) under Achromobacter xylosoxidans. Its description in RNAcentral is "bacterial SSU rRNA". It matches the Rfam family "Bacterial small subunit ribosomal RNA", at positions 119 to 615 of the family's 1533-position model. Lineage: Bacteria; Pseudomonadati; Pseudomonadota; Betaproteobacteria; Burkholderiales; Alcaligenaceae. The record is from RNAcentral.
CGGAACGUGCCCAGUAGCGGGGGAUAACUACGCGAAAGCGUAGCUAAUACCGCAUACGCCCUACGGGGGAAAGCAGGGGAUCGCAAGACCUUGCACUAUUGGAGCGGCCGAUAUCGGAUUAGCUAGUUGGUGGGGUAACGGCUCACCAAGGCGACGAUCCGUAGCUGGUUUGAGAGGACGACCAGCCACACUGGGACUGAGACACGGCCCAGACUCCUACGGGAGGCAGCAGUGGGGAAUUUUGGACAAUGGGGGAAACCCUGAUCCAGCCAUCCCGCGUGUGCGAUGAAGGCCUUCGGGUUGUAAAGCACUUUUGGCAGGAAAGAAACGUCGCGGGUUAAUACCUCGCGAAACUGACGGUACCUGCAGAAUAAGCACCGGCUAACUACGUGCCAGCAGCCGCGGUAAUACGUAGGGUGCAAGCGUUAAUCGGAAUUACUGGGCGUAAAGCGUGCGCAGGCGGUUCGGAAAGAAAGAUGUGAAAUCCCAGAGCUUAACUU